UGGGGAAUUUUGGACAAUGGGGGCAACCCUGAUCCAGCCAUUCCGCGUGAGUGAAGAAGGCCUUCGGGUUGUAAAGCUCUUUUGUCCGGAACGAAACGGUUAGCGUGAAUAUCGCUGACUACUGACGGUACCGGAAGAAUAAGCACCGGCUAACUCUGUGCCAGCAGCCGCGGUAAUACGGAGGGGGUUAGCGUUGUUCGGAAUUACUGGGCGUAAAGCGCGCGUAGGCGGAUUAGAAAGUUAGGGGUGAAAUCCCAGGGCUCAACCCUGGAACUGCCUCUAAAACUCCUAGUCUUGAGGUCGAGAGAGGUGAGUGGAAUUCCGAGUGUAGAGGUGAAAUUCGUAGAUAUUCGGAGGAACACCUGUGGCGAAGGCGGCUCACUGGCUCGAUACUGACGCUGAGGUGCGAAAGCGUGGGGAGCAAACAGGAUUAGAUACCC
This 440-nucleotide ribosomal RNA is filed under the name uncultured bacterium. RNAcentral's name for it is "bacterial SSU rRNA". It matches the Rfam family "Bacterial small subunit ribosomal RNA", at positions 355 to 787 of the family's 1533-position model. The record is from RNAcentral.